This is an RNA transcript of Cicer arietinum (chickpea), 2103 nucleotides long. It is a transcript of the gene named chaperone protein dnaJ 1, mitochondrial, with no coding region annotated. The record is from RefSeq and is a predicted model, not a curated record. Lineage: Eukaryota; Viridiplantae; Streptophyta; Magnoliopsida; Fabales; Fabaceae.
GACACCCUUACGUCUCGGCAUAUGUCGUUGCAUUGAAAUGUAGUAAUGCCCAGAAACGCAAACCCCAAAUCCAAGCGUGCUAAAACAACUAAAACCCCGAGAGUCGAAGAUCUGAGAGAGGCGUCACCGGAAUAAUCACAUUCACUUCCGGCGAAUGAGAAGGUUCACGUUGUUAACGCCGUUUCGGCGCCAUUUUCUUUCAUCUAUUGCAUCCGAACCUCUCCUUGAUAAAGGAAAUUCGUUCUCAAAAUUCUUCUCCUCUCGCCAAUCGUUGUUGCUUUCACGAACUUUGUUCGGUUGCAGUUUUGUAACGAAAAAGGAGGAGUCUAUAAUUCCGGGAAUUCCUUUGCGAUAUCGUUAUGUUCAUGCCACAGCAGCAUAUUCUUCUUCUGCUGAACGGGACUAUUAUCAGAUGCUUGGUGUUCCUGAAAAUGCCAGUCAGGAUGAGAUUAAGAAGGCAUUUCACUUGCUUGCUAAAAAGUACCAUCCAGAUGCGAAUAAGAAUAAUCCAUUUGCAAAGAGGAAAUUUCAAGAUAUACGAGAAGCUUAUGAGACAUUGAGAGACUCGAAAAAAAGGGCAUACUAUGACAAGAUGCGUACUCAUGGUUCAGAGAACACAGAAUAUGGUAAUGGAUAUGAUGAUGCAGAAAGAUUUCGAAAUGCUUAUCGUUCUCAUUUUUCUGAUUCAUUUCAUAAAGUAUUCUCUGAGAUAUUUGAGGAAGCAACAACUCAGUUCUCGUCAAAUAUAGAGGUGGAGUUAUCACUCACUUUCUCAGAAGCUGCGAGAGGAUGCACCAAACAUGUGUCAUUUGAUGCAGCAGUUCCGUGUGAUUGCUGCAAUGGACGGGGAUUUCCACAAAAUGCUACCCCAAAAGUUUGUCCAACAUGCAGGGGCUUAGGUCGAGUUACAAUCCCACCAUUUACAUCAACAUGCAUUACUUGUAAAGGAUCUGGCCGCAUCAUUAAGGAGUUUUGUUUGUCGUGUGGAGGAUCUGGGGUUAUUGAAGGGAUUAAAGAGGUUAAAGUUACAAUACCAGCAGGAGUGGAUUCGGGAGAUACAAUCCAUGUGCCGGAAGGUGGGAAUGCUGCUGGAAGUAGUGGUCGACAUGGAAGUUUAUACAUUAAAAUAAAGGUGGCCAAGGAUCCAGUCUUUGUGAGGGAUGGGGCAGAUAUCUACGUGGAAUCUAAUAUUAGCUUUACACAGGCUAUUCUUGGUGGCAAAGUUGAGGUGCCUACUUUAUCAGGGAAUAUGCAAGUAAAAAUACCUAAGGGUGUUCAACCAGGACAACUGCUAGCAUUUAGAGGCAAAGGACUGCCAAAGCAUGGGUAUUUUGUACAUCAUGGGGAUCAGUAUGUGCGUUUUCGUGUAAACUUUCCAGUUGCAAUCAACGAACGACAACGUGCUAUACUUGAAGAAUUUGCAAAGGAGGAAAUAAAGGAGGGAAGUAGUUCAAUAUUUGAAGGAAAUUGGUGGCAGCAAAUUCUUGAAUACACGACUGGUCCAAAGUUUAUGCUGGAACUAUCUGUGCUGAUACUAUUCCUUGUCUUCAUUAACAAAAUGUUGAGCUGAUCUGAUGGAUUGUUCAAAGUUUAAACAUGAUUGAAGUGGACUUGUCAAAAGACAAAUUCUCCUGAUUGCUGUAUUCUCCUUCCUUCCGGACUAUGUACAGUACAAGUUAUAGAGAUAUUGGAGCAAGUUUCGUCGAGAUCCAUUCAAUAUUGGAAUAAGUGAAUGGACUACGGAAAUCAAAUAUUUUUGUGGAAUCUGGUCCAUUUGAUUGUUGUUGAACAAUAUCAAUCAAAGAAUAAGAUUGCGAGUUAAACGAUGGUGAGAAUUUAUUUGAUGAAGAAUUCUUCCACAGUUUGACUGAUUUAUGUGAAGGUCAUCAAGGAUUUCAAAUCAACGAUGGAAACUCCCCGUGUAUUCUUUUUCCAAUAUAGUUUUCCUUGUUCAUUUAUUUUGUAAUCCCUUUUUGCAGAUAAUGGUUUCUUUAUUGUUGCAUGUUAUACAGUUAUAUAUAGUAGAUCAGGGUCCACUCAAUACGUUAUAAGGCGUUAUAAGGCAUAAAUUAAAAUCAUCAGACGAUAACUUUUUAAAAUGAA